RNAcentral lists this ribosomal RNA (253 nucleotides) under uncultured bacterium. RNAcentral's name for it is "partial 16S ribosomal RNA". It matches the Rfam family "Bacterial small subunit ribosomal RNA", at positions 524 to 776 of the family's 1533-position model. The record is from RNAcentral.
UACGUAGGGUGCAAGCGUUAAUCGGAAUUACUGGGCGUAAAGCGUGCGCAGGCGGUUAUGUAAGACAGGUGUGAAAUCCCCGGGCUUAACCUGGGAACUGCAUUUGUGACUGCAUAGCUAGAGUACGGUAGAGGGGGAUGGAAUUCCGCGUGUAGCAGUGAAAUGCGUAGAUAUCGGGAGGAACACCAGUGGCGAAGGCGACUACCUGGCCUGUUCUUGACGCUGAGGCGCGAAAGCUAGGGGAGCAAACGGG